UUCCGGAGAGGGAGCCUGAGAAACGGCUACCACAUCCAAGGAAGGCAGCAGGCGCGCAAAUUACCCAAUCCCGACACGGGGAGGUAGUGACAAUAAAUACUGAUACAGGGCUCUUUAGGGUCUUGUAAUUGGAAUGAGUACAAUUUAAAUCCCUUAACGAGGAACAAUUGGAGGGCAAGUCUGGUGCCAGCAGCCGCGGUAAUUCCAGCUCCAAUAGCGUAUAUUAAAGUUGUUGCAGUUAAAAAGCUCGUAGUUGAACCUUGGGCCUGGCUGGCCGGUCCGCCUCACCGCGUGUACUGGUCCGGCCGGGCCUUUCCUUCUGGGGAGCCGUAUGCCCUUCACUGGGCGUAUUGGGGAACCAGGACUUUUACUUUGAAAAAAUUAGAGUGUUCAAAGCAGGCCUUUGCUCGAAUACAUUAGCAUGGAAUAAUAGAAUAGGACGUGCGGUUCUAUUUUGUUGGUUUCUAGGACCGCCGUAAUGAUUAAUAGGGAUAGUCGGGGGCAUCAGUAUUCAAUUGUCAGAGGUGAAAUUCUUGGAUUUAUUGAAGACUAACUACUGCGAAAGCAUUUGCCAAGGAUGUUUUCAUUAAUCAGUGAACGAAAGUUAGGGGAUCGAAGACGAUCAGAUACCGUCGUAGUCUUAACCAUAAACUAUGCCGACUAGGGAUCGGGCGAUGUUAUCAUUUUGACUCGCUCGGCACC
Molecule: ribosomal RNA, 702 nt
Filed under: Dothidea insculpta
Lineage: Eukaryota; Fungi; Ascomycota; Dothideomycetes; Dothideales; Dothideaceae
Description: SSU rRNA
Rfam family: Eukaryotic small subunit ribosomal RNA
Source: RNAcentral